RNAcentral lists this ribosomal RNA (232 nucleotides) under uncultured bacterium. RNAcentral describes it as "partial 16S ribosomal RNA". It matches the Rfam family "Bacterial small subunit ribosomal RNA", at positions 91 to 339 of the family's 1533-position model. The record is from RNAcentral.
CCUAGCGGCAGACGGGUGCGCAACAUGUGGGUAUCUACCCUUUGGCCUGGAAUAACACGGGGAAACUUGUGCUAAUACCGGAUAAGUCUUUACGGAGAAAGCUUUAUGCACCAUUGGAUGAGCCCGCACUUGAUUAGCUAGUUGGUAAGGUAAUGGCUUACCAAGGCAACGAUCAAUAGCUGUUCUUAGAGGAAGACCAGCCACAUUGGGACUGAGACACGGCCCAGACUCC